This 682-nucleotide long non-coding RNA is filed under the name Phasianus colchicus (ring-necked pheasant). RNAcentral's name for it is "lncRNA (ENSPCLG00000022056.1)". The record is from RNAcentral. Lineage: Eukaryota; Metazoa; Chordata; Aves; Galliformes; Phasianidae.
AUGGGUCUGCACAAAUAUGUAAGUUUAUGUAACAUAACAGAAAUCUUAUACUUAACGGAAGAUCCACUUGUUCACGUGGACAUGGCAUCUGCACCCCGUGGUUCUGAUUAUUUUCUAGUUGGUCCAAGAAAGCAAGAUUUUAAACAGAGAGAAAAUGGAAGUACAGCAGAUUCCUACUGAAGCAUGAAUAAUCAGGAAUGAUGGAAGAGCUGACACCAUUCCACUAUUAGAAGCACUCACCUUCAGCAAGUUCAGGGUAAUCCCUUUACUCGAUUUUGGGGCAGCACUGAUGGACUUGGGCAGCUCACCUGCAUCCAAGGUAACACAAUGGGGAUGUGGACUUCUAAGGGAAUUAGAGUUAUUUCUUAUUGUUAAAUCUGAUCUACAAAAUUGAUAUAUCCUGUAUUGCGCAAAAAACUGAGCUGUCCAGGAGUAUAGAUUUUCUGUAAACCCCUCCUUUCUGUGAUUCUGAUUUCACAGCAUGAGUUGCCAGCUGAAGGAUAAUAUUUUGUAAUUCAUAUGGCAGUUUUAUACCUCUGUUCAGAUAUUCUACUUGGUGAAAAUGCUAACAAGACCAUUUUCAUUUUUUAAAUCAGGAAAUUAUUUUCUGUGAUUGCCUGAAGAAAUGUCUCUUUUUUACCUAUAGUACUAAAGGAAAUAAACCUUGCUAUACUGAGUAGCA